UGAUACAACUCCGCUUGUUAUAGAAAUCGUAUCUCCCCCAAUGGGGUAACCAGCAACAGUUACAGCAUCUUGAAGAGCAGGUAAUUCUCCAAAUUCCACUGGUGACACACCUUCCCAGAACUCAUUAUCGUUAACUGUAAGCAUUGCUGCUUCACCACAUAAACCAAAUCAUGCAUUCAACCAAAUAAAGAAUAAAAGCAAUUAUCUGAAAUCAUGAAGAUGACCUCCAGAAUGUCAAUUAUUUUCACAUCAUACUCUACUGACUAAUGUCUAAGCACUUCUUUCUUCAACGUUAGUUCACACUACACCAUGACUGGUUUGAACUUUCCUCUCCUUUUCUUGUACUAUAUAAGAAUUCUUCAUCAAUCCUUUUCUCAUUAACCAAGCAUAACCUCCAAAUCAAUUUACAUUAAGCACUCAGUAACCAUAAGUCAGUUUUCUACUUUGUACCCUGCAUAUGUUGCCAACACUGACAGAAUACUCGCAAUCUUAUCUGAAACAAUAAACUCUACCUCUCAAAAAUUAAGAAACAAAUAUAGAGUGAGAGAUAACAGUCCUUUACACCCCAAGUAACCUACUUAGCAAACAGUCAAUGUUACAAGCUUCACCGCUAUGGGCAAAAGAGACCAUUGCCACCCCUCUCCACUUGAAGAAAUUAGCAAUUUUCUUUCAACAGAAUGCAUGGCAAUUACUCUUUAGUUUUAGCAUGGCAAGAUAACUUGAGGGCAGUGAUACUAGUUAGCGAUAAUUCUAAUCAUUACAUUAUACACAGGGUAUUCAAUUUCAAUAUAUGAUUUGUGCGAUUAUUAUAAUUUUCUAUUAUGCCGACAGUCUAGCAGGCUGAGUUUGCAGAACAAGUUUGCAUGAUAAUGGGUGCUUGUAGGAAGUACCUAUAUUCUCCUGUGAAGUCACACGUGAGAUCGCGCAUGGGAUCCCAUAAAUAAAUACGUGUUAAGUCUAGAAUAGUAUUCGUGUCUAUAUGCAUGGAACCUAAUUAAUAUGUCAGGAGGUGCAUUGUCUUGCAAAGUCACACAUGAGAUCACACAUGGCACCUAUGCAUGAAACCUAGCUAGUAUGUAUAGACAUACACCACCAUCUAAAUAAAACACAGAAAAACACUCAACAAUAUGCAUUAUUAGAAAUUUAAUUGUAAGAACAGAACAUACCAAUAUCACAUUCGGUUCCAAUAGAAAGGACAGUAGCCAAGUACUUGGUAUCAGACCCACGUUUCUUAACUUUAACUUGAGUGUAAUGCUCGACUGAAUGCGCAUUUGUUAAAACCCUUCUCCCGCUGAUCACGAACCCACUACUGCUGGAACUAUACUGUCUUUUUCUCUGCCAAGGCAACGAGAAGUUGGGCUCGGUGUGAAUGCAAAACACCUUCACCACUGCAUCCAUUGCCGGUACCACUUGAGCACCAAUAGGAUCCACGGCCAACUCCAAUGGCGGUGCCGUUGGAAACACGGCGACAAGGCCAGAGGAUGGGGGGAAGAGGGCCGGGGCUAUGUUGAAAAUGGCCAACCAUGCUGCUAUUAUGUUUUUGUUAAAAUGUAUGGUACUAUGAUGAUUCUGUUGAAUGCAUACUGCUUGUAUGCAUGUUGCAGCAUUUGUGCAUGUUGCAGCAAAAUAUUUUCUGUUUUAGUUGCAAUGUAAUUUAGUUUGGUUGAGAAUGAACUUUGAUGUUGAUGUUUUGAUGGGUUGGUUGAGCUGAUAAGUCAGCUUAUCCAUGUGUACAAGCAAUGUUUUUAAAGUUACUAGGCUACUUAGUGGUAUUAGGUAGUAAUAACUGAUGUAGUUGGCUAUAAAUGUAUUGUUUUUAUUAUUGAAAAAUCAAGCAUAUCAGUUGUGAAACUUAGAUUGCUUCCUUGCUGCACGUUUGUGAGCAAGUAAAUUGUUUUUGUUUCUUCCUCCUUUGUUUUCUGUUUUGUUCUUUUUCUAAGAGCUGCUGCCAUUGUUCUUUCUUUUUCUUUUUUCUGCCUGUUAACCGAGGGCUUAUGCUCUUGAUGCUUUGUGUUUCUGCUUGCUGUUUGAAGAGCUUAUGCUCUUAGUGUUUCAUUGUUUGGUUGUUGCUGCCAAAUGUUCCAACAGGCUAUCGGGGAGUUUCUUAGUUCGACCAGGAGGGCGGGAAGUUAACUAUUUAUAGAAUCGUUUUAGGCGUAAAUCCAAAACUAUACAUAAUUAUAGUUUAAUAUGAGUUAUAGUCUUUUAAUUCAAUUCGGGUUUAAAUUAUAAGUUUAGUUUAGUUAGUGUAUGUAAAGAUUUCUUCAUUGAUAUUACGAGUUGGUUUUGUUAUGCAAGAUUUAUUUCUUGUAUUUCUCCUUCAAUUUGUCAAAAAUUAUUUAUCCAUUAAUUAAGUUUGAAGAGAUUUAUAUCUGAAAUGGUUUAAUUCAACAUUCAAUCAAGUUUUUACUUUAAAAAGCUUAUGUAUUUUGUUGUAAACCCCAAAAUUUUCACUUACAUUAAUUCUAAAAUAAAAAUAAAGAAAAUUAAAAUGAUAAAAUGGUUUUUCCAUGUAAGAACCUAGGUUUUUCCUCUUUAUUGAAAAAAAAAACUAAAACAAAUUCUAAAAAUAUAAAAUAAUUUAAAAUGAUAAAAUGAGUGAUCAAAAUGAAAACUUAUUAAAUUUGGGUGACUAAAAUGAGUAUACAAUAACAUUGCCUAACCCCCAAAUUAACAAGAAAAAUCAUUUGUUAACAACAGUGCCCUUAUUGCAAACUUUUAUUUUUCAAUGUCCAAAAUGAAAUUUUAUAAAAGUUUAGUGACCAAUUGUAUAAUUUACAUUUAACUUUUACACUCACGUUAAAAAAAAAGUGCUGUAUGUGUAAGUAAAUCUACGUUAGUUUCUUUGAUGAAUGGAUCAAGUAUAAUAUAUCAAAUCAUUUUAUAACUUUUAUAAAUUUUAAUAAUAUCAUAAAUCUAUAUUAUUUAUGAAGCUUUUACUAAGUUGGUGUCAUCCAUCAAUCACAUCUCAGCUCAAUUACGAAAAUUAUAGAAAUAUUCUUCCGUAAUUAAACCAAGUUAUAUUAUUUGAUAAUACUUUAAUCUUUUUAUUUUAACACGAACAAUAAAAAUAUAUAUGUGGUGAUAUUUGAGCCUACUCCAAUUAAAUUAAAAAAAUUAAAUUUAUCACCCAACCAAAACUUUAUUUUAAUUUUUUUUCAUACGUUUUUAUUUUAAUAUGCACAAAUUUAUUAUCCCCAUCAAUUGUAUAUCUAUACUAUUAAUAAAAGCUUUGAUUGUGUUGGUGUCACGGGUUAACUGGAUACCAACUCAGUUAGGAAAUGUCUAAAAUACCCUUUUAUUACAUGCUUACAAUUAUUAUUUUGAUGGCCUUUUUGUCUUGUCAUACUUUUAUAUAGUCUUUAAAUAAAAUAACUAAAAUUAACAUGCCUAUGGGCUAAACUUAUAUUUACUGGAUUUAUAAACAAAUUGUUUACCAUUGCGCCAAUAAUAAUUCUUAAGUAAACUUAAAAAAAUAAACUUUUAAUAUAAAAUAUUUUUUCUUGUGUAUCUAUACUAUUUAUUAGGUUUUUUACUGAGUUGAAUUCGCCCGUCAACGAGUCUCAACUCAAUUAGGAAAAUUAUGGAAAUAUUCUUUUGUAAUUAAAAUAAGAUAUUAUUUGAGGGUACUUUAGCCUUUUUAAUUUUAACAAAAACCAAUAAAAAUAUGCAUAUUGUGAGAUUUGAACCCACAUCAAUUGAAUUAGUAAAACAUUAAAUUUAUCAAUCAACCUAAGUUUCAGUUUCAUGUUUUUCAUACUUUUUUUUAUUUAAUGUGUACAACUUUUUAUCUCUGUCAGUUGUGUAUAAUAAUAUUGGUGUUAAUUGAGUUGAUGUCGCAAGUCAACUUAAUAUUAACUCAUAAUUAAUGACGACGUAAUGAUAAAUAAUUAUAAUGCAUUUAUUGUUACUAUGAUGUAUUUAUGUGUUUAAAUUUCGUUUUAUUCCCAAUUUAAUCUAAUUUCUAUUUUAAUAUCUUACAUAUUUUAUGCGUUAUUAUGAUUGAUUAGUUUCAAAUAUACGUUUCAUUGUUUAUUGUAUAUUAUUUUUAAACGUACACACACACAUAUAUAUAUAUAUAUAUAUAUAUAUAUUUAAAUUUGUAGUUUCUACAAGCAUUCACAUGUAUUAGGAUUUCUAGUAAAUAUAAUUUAUUUUCUAUUUUUUAUAUAUUUUCUUGUUAAGUACUUUAAUUGAUAAUUAUAAUGUAUUAAACUUUUAUUAAAUUAUAUAUAUAUGAUAUUUUAUAUUAAGUAUAUAUUAAAAUGCAAACUUGAAAUUAAUAAAUAUGAGUUUAUAAAUCAACAUGUGUAAAAAUAAUAAGGCAUAAUGCCAAAUUUAGCAUUCAACGUUUAUAUCUUUUGUCAAUUUUGCCCUUAUUCUUUUUUUUACCUAAAUUUGACCUUCAAACUUUUAAAAAAGAAACAAUUUGCUUUUUUUAAAUGGAAAUGCUGAUUAAUUUUUUUAACGAUGUUGGCAUGACAAUCCAUAUGGCAGUCCUCUUGUACUUCAUUCUGACAUGACACUAAUUUUCUUAUAUGUCAUGUCAAUAAAUAAUUUAAAAUUUAUAAAAUAUUAAAAAUAAAAAAAAUUAAAAUUCAAGAAAAUUUAUUAAAAGAUUAUAAAAAUUAAAAAGUAGUAUGAAAUAUAUGUAGAUAGUCAUGCGGACUUUCAUAUUUAAAAAUUUAACGUUUUAGUUAGUUUUUAUGUUAAAAAUAAAACAAUAAUUCAACUCUUUUGAAAAGAUUGAUGGUCAAAUUUAACUCUAUUUUUUAAAAGGUUGGGGGCCAAUUUAAUUAAAAAAUAAUAAGAGCCAACUUAUCAAAAUAUGUAAACAUUGUGGACUAAAUUUGACAUUAUGACAAAUAAUAAAUGCCCUUUCCAAAUUUAUCGAUAUGUUAAAAGGGAAAAUUUUGGUUCACCAGGUGUAGUUAAAAUAUCCUUUCAUUUUUUUUGUAUACGUCUUUUAAGUCCAUAAUUUAUAUAUAUAAGUCAAUUUAAAUUUAUUAUUAGAGUAAACUAUCACUCGACUAUUAAUAAAUUUAUACUUUGGUCACUCAAUUUCAAAAAUUUAUAAAUUGAUUACUAAACUGUUGUUGGUCACUAUCUCGUUUACCUGCUAACAUAUGUGAAAUGUAGGGAUAAGUAAACUAAUAGUAAGUUCACACUUUGAUCUUUUAAUUUCAAAAGGUUACAAGUUGGUCUUUGAACUAUUAAUAAGUUUACAAGUUAACACUUUGUUCACAGAAUCUUUGCACCAAUACCCCUAAUGUGAUAAUCCAAACAGUAUCAACAACUUAAGCCCCAAACACUAGCAAUGCCAUUGUCAGCCCUAUGUCACCUCUAACCAACUCAACAACCCUUCAUUCUUAAUUCACUCGCCAUUUCUCCUUCAAUAAAAACCAUAACCCUAAAAAACCAAUAAUUGAGUUAUUUGAACCACAAUCAAAACAAACAUAAAAAUGAAAAAAACAAAAAAAAAAGGAGAAGAAAGUCUCCUAUUUCAACAAGCCUCAAACGUUACCUAUAGAAGCAAAAUGACAGAAUAAAAUCAGAGGAAAGAGAAUCAAAAUAUCAACAAAAAAAAAGGAAACUAAAACUUACUAGAUCCAAUCAGGAGCUAGUUGGAGAGUUAUAGGGGAUGGAAGCUCAACCCAAAAGGUCAAGGAGAAAGUCUUGUUAAGAAAAGGAACAUAUUAGGGUCAAGCGACCAUGGACAGAGAUUGGAGAGUAUCUCUGUUAGGACUUCAGGUUUAAAUCAGUAGAGUUUCAAGUCAUUUCAAGAAAAAUUAAACCAUAAAGUUGAAAAAGGAGGGAGAAAGAUUUGGUUCAAUGCCUUUCUUUGUCAAAAGAGGAGAUCGAACAGUGGCAAAAUUAUUGGAAUACAACUAUGAUGGAGGUCCCUAAAACCCUAAAACCUUCGAAUAAUUUAGUGGCUAACUUAUAACUUAUUUUAAAUUGAGAGACCAAAGUGUAAAAUUACUAAUAGAUGAGUGACCUUGGACGUAGUUAACGACCAUAAGACAAUUGUUAGCAACUAAACGGCUCUAUGACUUAAACGGUAACUUUCGAAUAAUUCAAUAAUUAAUUUGUAACUUUUUAAAAUUAAGUGAUCCAAGUAUAAUUCUACUAAUGUUGAUAACCCUGGAUGUAGUUUACCUCAUUAUUAUUAUUGUUGUUAUGCCCUUAGGUUAAGUUUGUAUAUUUUAUAUAUGUGUAAUACAUAUUAUUUAACUGUCUAUUUUUAUAUUAAAGUUUUUUGAAAAGUGAUGAUUAUGUAAUCCCUCCAAAUUGAAUUUAUCUAUGAAUUAAUUUAAUUGUGAGAUUAAUUUAGUUGUUAAAGUCACUUCCUUAAAUCCCCAACAAGUGAAUGACCAGUAUAACAAACUUAUUUUAAUUAUAUUUUAUAAAAAAUAUUAAACUAAUUUAUAAUGUUAAAAUUUGAUAAUAUCACACCCAAAAUAAAAACGAAACACAUGAUAUAUCCAUUUUUAGUGACAUUUCGAUUGGUGUCUUCCUUCCAUAAUCGAAGUGUUUUAAUGACAUUUCGAAAGAUGCCGUUUUACAUGGACUUCACUUUGGUCGACCUUCGUAAAGUCCUCUUUUAUCUAAUUUCCCAAGUCCAACAUCGUCUCCAUCGCAUUGUGCUCAAUUCUUACUUUCUAAUGUUCUAAGAAAAUUUAUUUAGUAAAAUCCCGAGUCUUUGCUACUGGGUCAGACUUCCAUUGGGAGACGUGUCCUGCAAGCCUUUCGCUCAAUGAUUUUUAAUCAAACCCCACCUCUUGGCCUCGCGGCACAAGCUGUUCACCUAAAAACCUAAGUCACUGGUACGAAUUACAUGGGCAGCCUUGUUUGUAAUGUGUGAGUCAACUGUAAAAGUAUUUUUUUAAAAAGCUUCUUUUUUAAUCCCUCUAAAAAUGAGAUAUCAUUGUUUCUAUAGAUAGUCCAUAACAAGACGCUAUGAACGCUAGGCUAAAGAAGCUCCAUUCUACAAAAUGUAAUUACGUACCCCCCAAAAAAAAGGAGAAAAUAGAAAUGAAAGGUAAAAAAAAAUCAAUUAAUUAAGUCCCUGGUUUUCAUGCCUUGAGAUCAACAGACAUUGCUGAUGGUAUACAGUGGGUUGCAAGAAUGUCCGGAGUAGCUGCUUUUGCUGUCUUUGUUCUAAGCACUACUAUCUGCAUCAAACCACAAACAUCAAUGAAUGUCUAGUCGUGUCCUGCAACAAGAGCAUGAGUAGAAAACUACAUGCAUGAAGAGAGAGAGAGAGAGAACCUGUUCAUAUUCUAAGUCAAAUUUCAGAAACUCAUCAUCACAGUUCUCUACCAUCUCAGCCAAUCUCCUUAAAUUCUUCACUGGCUUACCAUUAAGAGCAACGACCUGUAUAGGAUGAGGUGUUCAUCAAUGAUAAAUAAAAGAACUGAACUACUGAAAUCUAACGUAGUUGCCAAUGACUGGUUAUUCUAACCUGAGUGUUAACAAUGUCCUCAUAUCCAAUAUUGAUAUCAGAUACAAGAACCUUCAAAAAAUUUCAAGAAAAUGUCAGAACAGAUCAGCAGAAUAUGCCCACUCUAGUAAGUAGGCAUGCAUAUGUGCAUGCAAACACACACAGGAGAAGAUUGAAAGAACCUGAGACACCACAACAAGCUGUUCAUCGGGUGACUGCAGCAUUGAAUGCAAGAGUUUGUCCAAUAGCUUCACUGGAGCUUCAUAUUCAUAAUCCUUCCCAUACUGAGCAAAAUUAACAAAUACAGCAUAGUUAAUUUGGAAACUCCACAGAUAAGCAAUUUUGUCACUAACUUUUGAAAAAUCAAAUUGACUACUACCAUGUAGUUGAUAAAAAUUCAAAGCUCUACACUUUUUAUGAUCUAAAUAAUCAUAAAAUCUCACUAUAAAAAGAAAAGACUUGAUAGAAACAUAAAAGUUGUACUUGAAAUCACAACUAUAUCAUUUAUCUUCAGAUCCAUUUAUUGCAUAAUUUGAAAAUAAUUGUCUAGGGAUGCACGCAACUGGAAAACUAGUACAGUUAGAACGUGGUAAAAGAAAAAGGUGUCGCUCAACAAUUACACAAAUUCCGGUUACAGAUCCUAAAAAUGAAAAAAGAUGAUGUAGCAACUGAUCCAAUUAAGAACAUUCUCUAUACCAAGAAAAUUGCAGCACAGAGCACUUAUUUACAGCACAGACAAAUUUAGCUUCAGCGGGAACAAUAAUUUAGGAAAUCCUUUGGUGACCACACCUGGACACCAAAGAAUUUAAACAUUAUCGGGAAAUGUGAAAUUGUUGCAGAAAUCACACAUCUAGAAUGACGUAAACCCCCAAUAUCAAGAAGGGUCUAGAAAUGUUUAGUUACGCUAUUAAAAGGUGCAGAAACGAUAAAUUUGCAGAUUUUAAGAGAAUAUUCAAUCUGCUAUGGAAGUAAACUAGCAGAACCCAAUUCACAUUGCAGACUGCUCAGCACUUCGAAAAGCAAAAUCCAACAGAAACAUUUCAAACAUGCCCAUGCUUUGUUGACCUUUGACACAAAAAUCGAAAUUACAGAAAAUGUACAAUCAUACGAGCUAUAGAUAGUGCAACAAAAAAAAACAAUAUAUUCAUAUUUUCUACUUUUUGAGAAUGCCCAAAGAGGAACACAAAAAUAACAUAAAAAUAUCAAUCUUUCAUUUUAUAGCAUCUAAACUAGCUAAGUCUUUAACAGGCAUUAUUUUAUUAUUAUUGUAACAGGCAAUAUAUUUUGAAGUAAACAACAUACCUCAGAACGUAAAUAUGGAACAGAUACAGUUGUAAACACAAAUCCUGCAAUUAUAUAAUAUGAAGGAGGUCUGCCCUUGUUGUGUGCUGGAAUAAGCCUUCUGUGUGAUGUAAGUUUGAUGUUGAAAUUUAGAAUCUCAGAAUUACGUAGAACUUUAAUAGCUGAACUAUCCCCAGCAUAUUUUUGUGACACUAGGUAACUAAAACCUAUGCGUUCUCCAUGCCUAAAAGGAACUGAGAAAACAUUGAGAACAAUAUCAGAAAAAAUGUGUAGAAGGAUUGAACAGAUUAGAAAAGAGAAUACAUGAACAGUUCUCAGUUUUCCUGAUAAAAAUCUUGAUAGGAUUGUUAGCUAUCUGUUCUCAAGAUAAUAGUGUUCUAUGUAUUACCACUUUUGACAUAACUAACUACUUCCAUUAGGAUAUUUAUUCAAGUACUUAAUCAAGUUCAUAGUUGUGAAGAUAGCAGCAGUUAGCCGUACAUAGAUUCAUAAUCAAGUUAAUCCAUGAAUUCACCUAAAAGGCAUCCUCAGAAAAGUUCUCCUUUCAAUGCCACCCUCACUAUUGUUGGGAUAGAGCAGUUUAACUUUUAAUUUUAUAAAGCUCUACAAACACAAAUGUGAAGCAAUGAUUAACAUAUUACAGGUAUUUUCCAGGGAACAUACAUGGUUAUUUAGUUCAAAGUAGUAGUAACCAGUUAAUUUUUACGAGUAGGAGGAAAUGCUCUUAUGAUAGAGUGAAAGUUGGGUCUUAUGACAAGAAGGAUUUGCUCUUAUAAUAGACAACGUAUGAAGUUUGUGCAUAAUAAUUUCAAUUGGAAAAACCAUGGAAUAUGCAAAUAGAUUUCUCUGAAGGCUAAAUAGUGUACAAGUUUGUGUGCGCAAAUAUUUAUUUAUUGUAUACAAAAAGAACAACUUACCCGUUCCAUCAUUGGCAAUAUCAACCCCAUCAAAGCUGAGCACAAUAUCUGAUGACUUCAAAACCCCAGAUUCUGGAGCUGUGGGAUCAACUCUUCUGAUUCGAACACCUUUCUGUUCAGGUUUCAUGCCCAUUGCUUUACGCAAAUCUGGGUUUUCCAUUUUUUGCCACUCAAUCCCCAAAAUAGGGAACCCUAGCAUAAAAGUGCGACCAUGAAACUUUAAUCACAAUGAAGCAAAUAGUACAUGCAUCACACAAUUAAAAAAAAGAAGAAGAAAUGAACAGUACGUAUAAAAAAUUUAUUUAAAAGACCCAAACUAAAUUACCAGUAUAGGCUUCAUUCUUCUCAUAGUCUUGGAUAANNNNNNNNNNNNNNNNNNNNNNNNNNNNNNNNNNNNNNNNNNNNNNNNNNNNNNNNNNNNNNNNNNNNNNNNNNNNNNNNNNNNNAUUGCCUUUAUCAUUGAAGGCAGGCCCACCAGAGUUCCCAGAGUUUAUAGCAGCAUCUAUCUGCAAAUAAUCAUGCAGAAUACAUAAUAUAUGAAAUCUUUUACGGUUGCAACACAGAGAAACAAAUGCUAGAAAGGAAAUCAUGUAACCUGCAAGCCAAGGAGCUCUGUUGACCCGUGAACAUAAGACAAGAUUUCUAUCCGUGAUACAACUCCGCUUGUUACAGAAAUCGUAUCUCCCCCAAUGGGGUAACCAACAACAGUUACAGCAUCUUGAAGAGCAGGUAAUUCUCCAAAUUCCACUGGUGACACACCUUCCCAGAACUCAUCAUCGUUAACUGUAAGCAUUGCUGCUUCACCACAUAAACCAAAUCAUGCAUUCAACCAAAUAAAGAAUAAAAGCAAUUAUCUGAAAUCAUGAAGAUGACCUCCAGAAUGUCAAUUAUUUUCACAUCAUACUCUACUGACUAAUGUCUAAGCACUUCUUUCUUCAACGUUAGUUCACACUACACC
RNAcentral lists this long non-coding RNA (10621 nucleotides) under Gossypium raimondii (Peruvian cotton). Its description in RNAcentral is "long non-coding RNA (GRAI_LNC000101)". The record is from RNAcentral. Lineage: Eukaryota; Viridiplantae; Streptophyta; Magnoliopsida; Malvales; Malvaceae.